RNAcentral lists this long non-coding RNA (1137 nucleotides) under Gallus gallus (chicken). RNAcentral's name for it is "lncRNA (ENSGALG00010027829.1)". Lineage: Eukaryota; Metazoa; Chordata; Aves; Galliformes; Phasianidae. The record is from RNAcentral.
CCGAGACUGUAGUACGCAUGCGCAGUCUCCGUGACGGCGGUACGCAUGCGCGAGCCUUGAGACGGCUGUACGCUUGCGCGAGCCAUGAGACAGCACUACGCAUGCGCUAGUCCCUGGUCUGCAGUACGCAUGCGCGGGCUUCGAAACGGCGGUACGCAUGCGUGAGCCACGGGACUGCAGUACGCUUGCGCAGGCUUCCAGACUGCAGUACGCAUGCACGAGUCGCCGAACGGCAGUACGCAUGUGGCUUCGUGGAAAUGGAUUCUAUUUAUACGUUUCAUGGCGCAUGCGCACCGGUGCCAGGAGGACUAAGUAAAAUAAAGACCGGCGGAUUUGCUGCGCAGAGUGACUAGAAAAUACAUAAACCACUUCCGUGUGCCUGCGCUCAUGUGUCCUGCUGCCUCCGCCACCAAACGCUUACGUCCGCAAUUCCACCAAUUGGCCACACGGGGGCAUUAGAGACCAAAGGAAGAAUUAAUAUUAAGCACGAGGUAUGCGUAAGUCAUCACGAGGCAUGCUGCUCAGCACCACCUUUGGGAAACAGCUAAUGGAUAUGUAAUAAAAAUCUCGGUACAGCAGUAACAUACAACGUUAUAUAAGAAUAAUACGAGAACACCUUGCAAGGAGGCGAGGGACUUUACAACCUCUGUCUGGGAAGUCCAGCACCAUUUGCCCGCAGACACCUCUUUGGCAACUGUUCUAGAUCCAGCUGUACAUCCUGUUCCAGAGCACAGCUCAAAACUACAAAGGAAACAAAGGGAGGUCUGAGUAGGCACAAGAAAGAGAAUGUAAUGUUUCCAUACUGAAAAAAGCAAGUAAGCAAUCGAAGACAGAAGCCAUUCCUAGAAUACUGCUAUGGGAAACAUAGCGGCAGAGAAGAAAGAAUCCACAUUUCCCUGAACAACUGCUCCAAGAAAAAAAGAAAAAUCAAUUGCUUUUAGACAUUCUUUGUUUGAAGGCAGAUACCAUCCUCACACUUUAAAAGCAUUAAAAAAAAAAAAAAAAAAAAAAAAAAAAAACCAAUACAGUGCACAGAGUAAUCUCCUCCAACAACACGUGUAUUUGGUGUAGGCAGCAAGUGGCACAGCUCUGUGUCAUAAAGAACUCAAGUUAUAAGCACCAAGCACCAAAGCUCCA